This 678-nucleotide long non-coding RNA is filed under the name Mytilus galloprovincialis (Mediterranean mussel). The record is from RNAcentral. Lineage: Eukaryota; Metazoa; Mollusca; Bivalvia; Mytilida; Mytilidae.
ACUUCAUUGAUAUAAUCCUUAGUUUUACCUGUAAUUUUUAACAGUCUUACUUUUUUUCUGGAUGAUUGAGUUCGCGCCAUUUUAGCUUUCCACGUGUAAUUGAUGUUUUAUCUUGUGUAUCUGUACUUUAAAAACAAAAUUUAAUUUUUUGUUUCACUAACGUUCAAAAACCUACCAUUGGUAAGAAAAACACAAAAAAGUUUGAAAAAAUUGCAUGGGGCGUCAACCUGGCCUCCCCGAAAAUGACCGUCAGAAGGCUAUUGCAAUGGUUGAUGCCAGAAUGAGUGUUUCUGAUGUCGUGGCUUGAUUAAAUGUACAUAAGUCAACAGUUUAGUGACUAACAAACAGAUAUCGACAAAUUGCAACUGCACGGGAUAGGUCGAUAUUUCGUAGACCAAGAAAAACUAUCGUCAAGGGAGGAGCGCCACUUUCGCUUUUCAUCAACACGUGCUAAGUUUUUUUCCGGCCACAAGAGUAGUGCAUUGACUAAGGGCAGCUGCUGGUGUGCCUGCCAUUCCUUCAUUGAUGCACUUAGGACAUGGCCGAGAAAUUUAUUUUGAAUAACACUAUACUCAUUUCCGCAUUUUGACCCUCCCGCGCUCCAUACAAAGAAAAUCCUAAUGAAUGUGAGUGAUAAACAUUCAUGAUGCUUCUGACAUGUCAUAAUUUCAUUUUUUU